RNAcentral lists this ribosomal RNA (543 nucleotides) under Dothiorella gregaria. RNAcentral describes it as "eukaryotic LSU rRNA". The stretch from base 172 to 325 matches the Rfam family "5.8S ribosomal RNA". Lineage: Eukaryota; Fungi; Ascomycota; Dothideomycetes; Botryosphaeriales; Botryosphaeriaceae. The record is from RNAcentral.
UCCGUAAGGGGAACCUGCGGAAGGAUCAUUACCUAGAGUUGUAGGCUUUGCCUGCUAUCUCUUACCCAUGUCUUUUGAGUACCUUACGUUUCCUCGGCGGGUCCGCCCGCCGAUUGGACAAUUUAAACCAUUUGCAGUUGCAAUCAGCGUCUGAAAAAACUUAAUAGUUACAACUUUCAACAACGGAUCUCUUGGUUCUGGCAUCGAUGAAGAACGCAGCGAAAUGCGAUAAGUAGUGUGAAUUGCAGAAUUCAGUGAAUCAUCGAAUCUUUGAACGCACAUUGCGCCCCUUGGUAUUCCAUGGGGCAUGCCUGUUCGAGCGUCAUUUGUACCUUCAAGCUCUGCUUGGUGUUGGGUGUUUGUCUCGCCUCUGCGUGUAGACUCGCCUCAAAACAAUUGGCAGCCGGCGUAUUGAUUUCGGAGCGCAGUACAUCUCGCGCUUUGCACUCAUAACGACGACGUCCAAAAGUACAUUUUUACACUCUUGACCUCGGAUCAGGUAGGGAUACCCGCUGAACUUAAGCAUAUCAAUAGGCCGGAGGA